RNAcentral lists this ribosomal RNA (483 nucleotides) under uncultured bacterium. RNAcentral describes it as "partial 16S ribosomal RNA". It matches the Rfam family "Bacterial small subunit ribosomal RNA", at positions 30 to 506 of the family's 1533-position model. The record is from RNAcentral.
AUUGAACGCUGGCGGCAGGCCUAACACAUGCAAGUCGAGCGGAUGAAGGGAGCUUGCUCCUGGAUUCAGCGGCGGACGGGUGAGUAAUGCCUAGGAAUCUGCCUGGUAGUGGGGGAUAACGUCCGGAAACGGGCGCUAAUACCGCAUACGUCCUGAGGGAGAAAGUGGGGGAUCUUCGGACCUCACGCUAUCAGAUGAGCCUAGGUCGGAUUAGCUAGUUGGUGGGGUAAAGGCCUACCAAGGCGACGAUCCGUAACUGGUCUGAGAGGAUGAUCAGUCACACUGGAACUGAGACACGGUCCAGACUCCUACGGGAGGCAGCAGUGGGGAAUAUUGGACAAUGGGCGAAAGCCUGAUCCAGCCAUGCCGCGUGUGUGAAGAAGGUCUUCGGAUUGUAAAGCACUUUAAGUUGGGAGGAAGGGCAGUAAGUUAAUACCUUGCUGUUUUGACGUGACCAACAGAAUAAGCACCGGCGAACUUCGG